Bos taurus (domestic cattle) is the source of this 1737-nucleotide long non-coding RNA. Lineage: Eukaryota; Metazoa; Chordata; Mammalia; Artiodactyla; Bovidae. The record is from Ensembl.
CUUGUGUGUGGGAGCUUUUGAUGUUAUUUUAGUCAAGUCUUUAUUAUUCAUAUAUCCAUAGAGACAAGAAUGUAGCAAAGGGAGGUGGGAGGGAGAUUCAAGAGGGAGGGGACAUUUGUACACCUAUGGCUAAUUCAUGUUGAUGUAUGGCAGAAAUCAAAUCUAUAUUGCACAGAAUUAUGCUUCAGAAAAAAAGAACAUAGCAAGGUGGUCAGGAAAGUAUGAAAAAAAGAUUUCUCAUAUUUAUAAUCACAACUCUUCGUACAUCUGGGAGCAGGCUGCCCACCAUCAUCACACCUUCCCGCCAGCAUCAGACGUUUAUUUACCCCAAGCAUCAGGCCAUAGUCCAGCAUCAGACCCUCCCCAAGCAUCAGGCCCUCCCCAGCAUCAGGCCCUCCUCCAGCAUCAGGCCCUAGUCCAGGAUCAGGACCUCCCCCAGCAUCAGGCCUCAGUCCAGCAUCAGGGCCUCCCCCAGAAUCAGACCCUAGUCCAGCAUCAGAUGUUCCUGCCCCAGCAUCAGGGCCCUCCUCCAGCAUCAGGUCCUCCCCCAGCAUCAGGCCCAUAGUCCAGCAUCAGGCCCUCCUCCAGCAUCAGGCCCAUAGUCCAGCAUCAGGCCCUCCUCCAGCAUCAGGGCCUCCCCCAGCAUCAGGCACAUAGUCCAGCAUCAGGCCCUCCUCCAGCAUCAGGUCCUCCCCCAGCAUCAGGCCCAUAGUCCAGCAUCAGGCCCUCCUCCAGCAUCAGGGCCUCCCCCAGCAUCAGGCCCUCCUCUAGCAUCAGGCCCAUAGUCCAGCAUCAGGGCCCUCCUCCAGCAUCAGGCCCUCCUCCAGCAUCAGGCCCUAGUCCAGCAUCAGGCCCUCCCCCAGCGUCAGGCGUGGCAGCCCCACUUGUCUGACACUCCUGAGCACACUUAGGCAGCCCCAGAGCAGCAGGACAAUAGCUCUUGCAGGAGGUGCAUCUUUAGCAAUCACCUGCGGAGCAGCAGUAGCAGCUGGGGUCUGUUUCAGGCCAAGGAGAGGCAAAGAAGAGGCACUUGUGCCGAGGCAGCGGUGGGUGUGGGCACGUUUCAAAGCUCUGCUUCCUCCCCGAGGGGGCUUUGCUCUCCAGCUCUCUCACGUGGUCACUCGAGGACCCCAGGGCUGUGUCCUUCCAGAUUCACGGUCUCCUUAAUAUCUCAAGCCCAAGUCCUGAGUUGCAUCCCAGUCCGGUGUGGCAGAGGGCUGGGAACACACAAGCUCAAGGGCUGAAAGGAUCCCAGGGGAACAGUCGGGCCCCAGUGGGUGGCAGAGCAGGGGAUGAGGGUGGCCGCCCACAGAGGGCCCCGCAGCAGCACUGGAAGGAGAGCAGGGGUGCCUUAGCUCACUCGGGGACGUUGCCCGGCCUCAGCGCCCAGAUGUUACUGCCAGCAGCUCUGGGGAUGCAGAAAGCCCGGUGAGUGACACCACUCCACUCGGGCCGUGUGAGUGGGCACUGCCUACCAUGGACUAAGUUUUCAUUCCGGUUCCAACUGUCCCUCCAAGGGCUCCUCUUCCGAAUGGCACAUUUUCUUGAUGUGGGUGAACGCAUCCCUGCUUGUUUCUGUCAGCACUGUUGUCGGUCAUCGUGUGUUUUCCUCUUUACAAUCUGUGCUUGCUGCUCUUCCAGUUUAACUUAGGAGCAGCCCUUAUUUUCUGCAUUUCCUAGUUGUCAGCGUUCACUGGGGCUUUCCAGGUGGUUCUAGCGGUAAAGAUCUUGCCUGCC